AACAGGAUUAGAUACCCUGGUAGUCCACGCUGUAAACGAUGUCGAUUUGAAAGUUGUGGCUUAAAGUCGUGGCUUUCGUAGCUAACGCGUUAAAUCGACCGCCUGGGGAGUACGGCCGCAAGGUUAAAACUCAAAUGAAUUGACGGGGGCCCGCACAAGCGGUGGAGCAUGUGGUUUAAUUCGAUGCAACGCGAAGAACCUUACCUACUCUUGACAUCCAGAGAACUUUCCAGAGAUGGAUUGGUGCCUUCGGGAACUCUGAGACAGGUGCUGCAUGGCUGUCGUCAGCUCGUGUUGUGAAAUGUUGGGUUAAGUCCCGCAACGAGCGCAACCCUUAUCCUUUGUUGCCAGCGGUUCGGCCGGGAACUCAAAGGAGACUGCCAGUGAUAAACUGGAGGAAGGUGGGGAUGACGUCAAGUCAUCAUGGCCCUUACGAGUAGGGCUACACACGUGCUACAAUGGCGUAUACAAAGAGAAGCGACCUCGCGAGAGCAAGCGGACCUCAUAAAGUACGUCGUAGUCCGGAUUGGAGUCUGCAACUCGACUCCAUGAAGUCGGAAUCGCUAGUAAUCGUAGAUCAGAAUGCUACGGUGAAUACGUUCCCGGGCCUUGUACACACCGCCCGUCACACCAUGGGAGUGGGUUGCAAAAGAAGUAGGUAGCUUAACCUUUCGGGAGGGCGCUUACCACUUUGUGAUUCAUGACUGGGGUGAAGUCGUAACAAGGUAACCGUAUGGGAACCUUGCGGCUGGAAUCACCUCCUU
RNAcentral lists this ribosomal RNA (764 nucleotides) under uncultured bacterium. Its description in RNAcentral is "bacterial SSU rRNA". It matches the Rfam family "Bacterial small subunit ribosomal RNA", at positions 771 to 1533 of the family's 1533-position model. The record is from RNAcentral.